Molecule: transfer RNA, 71 nt
Filed under: Gossypium hirsutum (cotton)
Lineage: Eukaryota; Viridiplantae; Streptophyta; Magnoliopsida; Malvales; Malvaceae
Rfam family: tRNA
About the family: Transfer RNA (tRNA) molecules are approximately 80 nucleotides in length. Their secondary structure includes four short double-helical elements and three loops (D, anti-codon, and T loops). Further hydrogen bonds mediate the characteristic L-shaped molecular structure. tRNAs have two regions of fundamental functional importance: the anti-codon, which is responsible for specific mRNA codon recognition, and the 3' end, to which the tRNAs corresponding amino acid is attached (by aminoacyl-tRNA synthetases). tRNAs cope with the degeneracy of the genetic code in two manners: having more than one tRNA (with a specific anti-codon) for a particular amino acid; and 'wobble' base-pairing, i.e. permitting non-standard base-pairing at the 3rd anti-codon position.
Source: Rfam by way of RNAcentral
GGGCAUUUGGUCUAGUGGUAUGAUUCUCGCUUAGGAUGCGAGAGGUCCCGGUUCAAUUCUCGGAAUGCCCC